UCUGACCCUGAAGCAGUGAAGGUGACAAAUGAAGGAACCAAAGUGUGGGCAAAUUUGUUCCAGAAAAACAGAUUUGCCUCAAAUGGGAUGUCUCUGGAGUAUAUACCACCUACUAUCCUUGAUGGCAAACCUGUAGGUCAAUUACUGAAAGAGGAAGUAGAGGAGGAAGAGCAGAAAUGGAAGUGUUCUCUGGUGAUUUUUGUUUUGGGGACUGGGCCAGGUUAAAACCUGUAGGUCAAUUACUGAAAGAGGAAGUAGAGGAGGAAGAGCAGAAAUGGAAGUGUUCUCUGGUGAUUUUUGUUUUGG
RNAcentral lists this long non-coding RNA (306 nucleotides) under Nicotiana benthamiana. RNAcentral's name for it is "long non-coding RNA (NBEN_LNC005421)". Lineage: Eukaryota; Viridiplantae; Streptophyta; Magnoliopsida; Solanales; Solanaceae. The record is from RNAcentral.